AUGCAGUUUCUCCUGGAAUAGAAGCCUCUCUUGAAGGUGGACGGUGAGCUGGGCUCUGCCUGUCCUCUCCAGCAGGCUCUGGAAGCCGUGCCACUGAAGGGAACAGCUCAGGUCUUGCUAUGGUACCCUGAGAGUUUACCUUGGGGCUGCCAGGACAACCCAGUCCGAAGAAUGACACCACUGUUCCUCCGCCUUGCACCUGGCUGAUUCAUUGUACUGACCUUGAUGUGACCAUCUCCUGCCGAUGUGACCAUCUCCUGCCUAUGCGACUUCUGUAGUUUGCCCUGUUCUCUAUAUACCAUAUAAGCCUGAUUUCUACUCUGUACAAAUGACAUUCAAUUUCAGCACUC
Long non-coding RNA from Mastomys coucha (southern multimammate mouse), 350 nucleotides. RefSeq lists it as uncharacterized. The record is from RefSeq and is a predicted model, not a curated record. The transcript is spliced from 2 exons. NCBI's taxonomy places the organism in Eukaryota, Metazoa, Chordata, Mammalia, Rodentia, Muridae.